UACGUAGGGUGCGAGCGUUAAUCGGAAUUACUGGGCGUAAAGCGUGCGCAGGCGGUUCGUUGUGUCGGUGGUGAAAUCCCCGGGCUUAACCAAGGAAGUGCAUCCGAAACUGCAGUGCUUGAGUACUUAAGAGGAUCGCGGAAUUCCCGGUGUAGAGGUGAAAUUCGUAGAUAUCGGGAGGAACACCAGUGGCGAAGGCGGCGAUCUGGGAAGAUACUGACGCUGAGGUGCGAAAGCGUGGGGAGCAAACAGG
RNAcentral lists this ribosomal RNA (253 nucleotides) under uncultured bacterium. RNAcentral describes it as "partial 16S ribosomal RNA". It matches the Rfam family "Bacterial small subunit ribosomal RNA", at positions 524 to 776 of the family's 1533-position model. The record is from RNAcentral.